Sapajus apella (tufted capuchin) is the source of this 3473-nucleotide long non-coding RNA. RefSeq lists it as uncharacterized. The record is from RefSeq and is a predicted model, not a curated record. The transcript has 2 exons. NCBI's taxonomy places the organism in Eukaryota, Metazoa, Chordata, Mammalia, Primates, Cebidae.
ACCCUGGGCUCAAGCCAUCCGCCUGCCUCGGCCUCCCAGGAUUGCAGGGGUGAGCCAUCAUGCCCAGACUACUUUUUCUUUUCACAUUUGCUGAUUUUGUCCCAUCCUUCUUUUUGAUGCUGCAACAAAAAAAAAAUGAAAAUGUUAAAUAUUAAAUAUCUUCUGUAGAAGAUACUUUAUUAAAAUUCUAUUUCAGUACUAUCCAGUAGAAAAAUAAAUGCAAGUCAUAUAUAUAAUUGUAAAUUUUCUAGUAGCCAUAUUAAAAAUAGCUUUAAAAACCCAGAUGAAAUUAAUGUUAACAUUUUAUUUAAGCGAGUGUAUUCAAAAGGCUGUGUCAGCAUGUAAUCAAUAUUAAAAAAUAUUGAGAUGCCUUACGUUCUUUUUUUCAUUUGAAAUCUGGUGUGUAUUUUACAUUUACUGUACAUCCCAGUUUUGGCCAGCCACAUCUCAAGAACUACAUAUAAAAUCACUACUUCCAAAUAUUGAGUGAUUUUACUAGUGUCUUUAUAUUGGAAAAACCACAUCUAGACGUUCUUAACUAGCGAUGCAUGUUAACAAUUACCUGGAAGCUUUUCCUAAAUACACAUUUCUGCCUGUACCCCUCACUAGAUCUGUUAAGGUAAAAAUCUCUGUUCUGUGUGAGCCUGGGCAUGUGUCUUGAGAAGGAUACAUAGGUGAUACUGACAAGUACAUUUAACUAAGAAGGUCCAACUUCUUUGUUCUACCUAUGAUGAAACAUAUCCUGUUUCAUCAUAGGUAGAACAAAGCUUUCCCACAGAGAGUAAUGAUACAGACCUGAGUAUUCCAUCCACAAAUCUCGUGUCAUUUUUGUCUUAUCAUUUCUAAUAUACAGGAUAGGAAUGCAGACUACUAUUAUACACAGAUUUGUUCAACAGCAAGAGUCAGCAACAAAGCGAUUUUCGAGUUAAUUUUUAGAUUGUCAGGAAAUUAAAUGUGAAAUAUACCUGCACGUGUGUGCACGAGCGCAUCACACACACGGGCACACACACACACACACACACUGUCUAAAUAGUCUUGUUAAAUGACAUUUCAUUGUGAUGGGUAUGACUGCAUAGAUUUUAUAUGUAUUCCCAUUUUCCUGAUACCUUUUAGACUCACCUCAUAUAUUAUACUUUCCUGAAACUGCUUUUAAAAAUCUAUACCAAAAUAGAUACCCAGGGCCAUUAUAAUUAUUUUAGUAUAUCUCUGAACAUCAUGACCGAAUACAAAACUUUUUCAGCCUGUCAGUUUUCAAAGUGUCAACUCUGGAUUUUUCAGGUUAAAAUUUCAUAUUUUUAAACUGAUAACAAGGCUGCCAGAUAUCAGCAGGCAGUGUGGUUGACUACUCUGUAAUUUUAUGGGAAUUUUUUAUAGGUGAAUCACAAUGGCUUGCUUCUCUCUUUCACAUAGUGCUGACAAGGACAACACAUGUGCUAUACUGAAAGAUAGUAAGUCUCAAAAAGGUCAUCCAAAGGUAAUUUGAGGAUUAUUUUCGAUGAGUUGGAGAUAUGAAUAAAAAUGUUUGCUCUUUAACAAUUUUGUAUGAAGUGAGCAAACUUAGAUUAUCUAGUUUUAUUUAAUGCAAGUGAAUUUAACAAUUAAAUUAUUUUCAUAGCUCUUUAAUCCAUAUCCUUAUUAAAAAUCAACUUAAGUCUACAGAAGUCACAAGUAAUUAACAAGGCAUGUUAAAUAAAAUAAUGGUAUCUGUAAUAGCCUACAAACAACUACUAGACUUUAAAUUUUUUAAAAAGCAUUUUAAAGGUCCAAAUUGUUUAAACAGAUUAUUUAGCAGUGAUCAGGAUGGUUAUAUGACACCCACUUGAAAGAAGCUUCAAUGUAGAUUUUCUAGACUAAUUGUCUUUUUACAAAUGGAAGAUUCUGAGACAUCCGAAGAGAUGAAGGGAUUAACUUCAGUCACACAAAGAUUCCCUGCCAGUGCUAUUUUACCACUGUCUUCUGACUCACUUCAGUUGGCUUUUUUUUUUAAUCAGCUAACGGUGACUUUCUUUUGCUAGAAUGUAACAGCAUAUUAAGGUGUAGUGAUUUGCUAUAAUGAAGUGAUUUAAAAUAUUUUGACACAUGUCUAUUGGACAUAUCAAUAAAACAGAACAAAGACAAUAGCAGCAUUACUUCAGUGCUUCAGAGUCCCACGUGCAUUUCCUUCCAUGUGUCUACCAUAGGGCAUUAAAGCGCAUGAGCAUUUCUUCUAAAAUAGGUUUCCUAACUGAGUACAAGAUCCACAUUUUAAAAAAUACCUUUUGUGGAAAAUACUAAAACUUGGAGCCACAGCCUUAUUUCUCUCUCUUAACAUAGUUGCUCACUUCGUGGGGGAAAAAAAGUCCACUUUGGACAAGUGGAUGUAAUUGUAUAUGUAAUGCACUGGGAAGUAUGAGUUACUAUUGAUUAACUCGUAUUAAAUAUCUGAGAAAAAUGUAUGUAUUAUAAUUUUAAGCUGAUGAGAUGAUAAAUAGAAAAAGCCCUUAUUUGGAGUUCUCUGAUGUAUUCUUAGUGUUCAAGACCCUUAAAACAAAAAAUAUGAUUUCUCAUUUUACAUUCUUCUCCUUUCUAGUGUUUUUUUUUCUUCUUAUAUAGAACAGUGAUUUUAUUGUAGAAUUAAAACUGAUAAACCUGAUCCUCAGCUCUGUGCUAUUUUGGUUACCCCAUGAGGCGCUGCUCCCCAUAAACCUGAGAGUUCGUUAGAAGGUACCUAGUUCAGAAGAUUAUCAGCUUUAAGCAAUUGCCAUCCAAGAGAGUAAAGAACUACUCUGGAAGCUGGCAAGAAAAAAAGGAGUUGUUAUUUCUAUGCCAAUGUUUCUAGAACUGGUUAGGCAAUGAGAUAGUAGUCCUUAAUACAAUUGAGCUGUGAUGUAUAAUACCAAUAGUCAUACACAGUUUCAGACUCGGAUUGAUAUUUUUGCAAUCAAAUAAAGGAGGCUGUUUUCACACAUCCUAAAAAAACUAUGAUUUGAUAGCCACAUAGAGAUUAUUUCUUAGUAAUUUUUGAAGGCCUGCUAACCAAAACAUUGUAAUAAAAUUCACUCUUAUGAAAUUAAGAGUUAAAUCACAAAAAUACAACUGUUCAGAUAAAUAUUCAAGCAUUGACAGGUGUACAGCACCUCCGUUCUGUUUGCUGGCCAUUAUGUUUUUACCAGCUUUGGUUUUGAAAGUCCCAUCUUUCACCUUGAUUGAAUUACAUGAACAUCCUUUCCUAUUAUUACUCCAAAAGAGUCCUCAUAAUUUUUUAUAGCACCUUUGAUUUUAGACUGAAGGCUUUUAGAUAGACUUAAAUAGAUUCUUCUACUAUAUGUUUCUGAAAUGUUGACCCCUGUACUUUACUAAUGUACAUUUCACUUUAUAAGGUUAAUGUAAGGGCUUUUCUAUGGCUCCAGGCAAACCUCAAAGAAUCUCUGGUUUGCAAAAAAGAUCAAGAUGCCUCUGGAAAUAAAUAUGACCCAAUGGUGUUACUAUUUUUU